This 497-nucleotide ribosomal RNA is filed under the name uncultured bacterium. RNAcentral describes it as "partial 16S ribosomal RNA". It matches the Rfam family "Bacterial small subunit ribosomal RNA", at positions 28 to 507 of the family's 1533-position model. The record is from RNAcentral.
GAUGAACGCUGGCGGCGUGCCUAAUACAUGCAAGUCGAGCGAACAGGCGAGGAGCUUGCUCCUCUCACGUUAGCGGCGGACGGGUGAGUAACACGUGGAUCACCUACCUAUCAGUCUGGGAACACUUCGGGACACCGGAGCUAAUCCCGGAUAAUCUCUUGAUCCGCAUGGUUCGAUAGUGAAAGUCGGUUUUGCUGUCUCUUCUCGCUGGUUCCGCGCCGCUUUAGCUAGUUGGUAAGGUAACGGCUUAUCAAGGCAACCAUGCGUAGCCGACCUGAGAGAGUGGUCGGCCACACUGGAACGGAGACACGGUCCAGACUCCUACGGGAGGCAGCAGUAGGGAAUCUUCCGCAAUGGGCGAGAGCUUGACGGAGCAACGCCGCGUGAGAGAUGAAGGUCUUCGGAUCGUAAAACUCUGUUAUGAGUGAAGAACAAAUGUGUAAGUAGCUAUGCACGUCUUGACGGUACCUAAUCAGAAAGCCACGGCUAACUACGUG